AAAGAUUUUGGUAUUUUCCGUACAAAAUCGUAUUAUGGUAGCUACUGGACACGGUUGCGUGAAUUAUGGUGAUUUUUGACAAUUUACUCCUGAAAAUGCCAUAGGGAUACAAAGAAUAGUCCGGAGGCUCCAUCAACGAACCAUGUCUACCCUCAGUAAGUGAGGAAGAAAAAUUCACUAAAGCAUGUGCGUCCCUGUUAUACUAUCGCCGUUCGUGGUUAAAAAUGAC
RNAcentral lists this long non-coding RNA (229 nucleotides) under Hordeum vulgare. Its description in RNAcentral is "long non-coding RNA (HVUL_LNC000354)". Lineage: Eukaryota; Viridiplantae; Streptophyta; Magnoliopsida; Poales; Poaceae. The record is from RNAcentral.